RNAcentral lists this long non-coding RNA (210 nucleotides) under Elaeis guineensis (African oil palm). RNAcentral's name for it is "long non-coding RNA (EGUI_LNC048982)". Lineage: Eukaryota; Viridiplantae; Streptophyta; Magnoliopsida; Arecales; Arecaceae. The record is from RNAcentral.
UGUAGUGUGGGGACAUAGGGGUGAGAGUGUGGAUGGUUGUUAAAGAAUAACUUAUAUUAAGCGUGACCAACAUGAGAAAUAACUUGGAUGUCCACUCACUCGUCAGAGAUUUUCUUAAUACUGUAGUGGUAUGUCUGAUCUUUUGACCUGCAGUGUGUUGGUCAUUCGCAGUGAGGUUACUUAGUUUGACUGCACAUUCUCUUGGUCCCU